UUGCAUUUCCCAAUAGCGGAGGAAAAGAAACCAACAGGGAUUGCCCUAGUAACGGCGAGUGAACAGGCAAGAGCUCAGAUUUGAAAGGCACUUUUGUGCCGUUGUAUUCUGAAGUUAGGGUCCUGAGAAACGAUGCUUAAGUCUUCUGGAAAGGAGCGCCAUGGAGGGUGAUAGCCCCGUCUAGCAUUGACCUCAUAUAGGAUCUUAACAUGGAGUCGAGUUGUUUGGGAAUGCAGCUCAAAUGGGUGGUAUGCUCCAUCUAAAGCUAAAUAUCUGCGAGAGACCGAUAGUAAACAAGUACUGUGAGGGAAAGAUGAAAAGAACUUUGAAAAGAGAGUGAAAAAGUACGUGAAAUUGUUGAAAUGGAAGGGUAGGCCGCUAACCAUGUAGAGCCGUGUUUGGGGGGAAGAUAAAUGCUGUAGAAUGUAGCUCCUCGGAGUAUUAUAGAUGCAGUUCAUAUUCCCACCCGAGCGCGAGGUCUCAGGUUCUACUAAUAGCU
RNAcentral lists this ribosomal RNA (499 nucleotides) under Starmerella bacillaris. RNAcentral's name for it is "eukaryotic LSU rRNA". It matches the Rfam family "Eukaryotic large subunit ribosomal RNA", at positions 36 to 551 of the family's 3401-position model. The record is from RNAcentral. Lineage: Eukaryota; Fungi; Ascomycota; Dipodascomycetes; Dipodascales; Trichomonascaceae.